RNAcentral lists this ribosomal RNA (855 nucleotides) under uncultured bacterium. Its description in RNAcentral is "bacterial SSU rRNA". It matches the Rfam family "Bacterial small subunit ribosomal RNA", at positions 28 to 867 of the family's 1533-position model. The record is from RNAcentral.
GAUGAACGCUGGCGGCGUGCCUAACACAUGCAAGUCGAACGGAGAAUUACCGCUGAAGAAGCUUCGGCCGAUUCUUGGUAAUUCUUAGUGGCGGACGGGUGAGUAACGCGUGGGUAACCUGCCUCGUACUGGGGGAUAGCAGUUGGAAACGACUGAUAAUACCGCAUAAGCGCACAGUGUCGCAUGACACGGUGUGAAAAACUCCGGUGGUACGAGAUGGACCCGCGUCAGAUUAGCUAGUUGGUGAGGUAAAGGCCCACCAAGGCGACGAUCUGUAGCCGGACUGAGAGGUCGAACGGCCACAUUGGGACUGAGACACGGCCCAAACUCCUACGGGAGGCAGCAGUGGGGGAUAUUGCACAAUGGAGGAAACUCUGAUGCAGCGACGCCGCGUGAGUGAAGAAGUAUUUCGGUAUGUAAAGCUCUAUCAGCAGGGAAGAAAGGCUCGUAAGAGAGAUGACGGUACCUGACUAAGAAGCUCCGGCUAAAUACGUGCCAGCAGCCGCGGUAAUACGUAUGGAGCAAGCGUUAUCCGGAUUUACUGGGUGUAAAGGGAGCGCAGACGGUCAAGCAAGUCUGAAGUGAAACCCCACGGCUCAACCGUGGGCUUGCUUUGGAAACUGUUUAACUAGAGUACUGGAGAGGUAAGCGGAAUUCCUAGUGUAGCGGUGAAAUGCGUAGAUAUUAGGAGGAACACCGGUGGCGAAGGCGGCUUACUGGACAGCAACUGACGUUGAGGCUCGAAGGCGUGGGGAGCAAACAGGAUUAGAUACCCUGGUAGUCCACGCGGUAAACGAUGAAUACUAGGUGUUGGGAGACAUAGUCUUUCAGUGCCGUCGCUAACGCAAUAAGUAU